RNAcentral lists this ribosomal RNA (1372 nucleotides) under uncultured bacterium. Its description in RNAcentral is "bacterial SSU rRNA". It matches the Rfam family "Bacterial small subunit ribosomal RNA", at positions 28 to 1381 of the family's 1533-position model. The record is from RNAcentral.
GAUGAACGCUCGUUGCGUGCCUAAUACAUGCAAGUCGAGCGAACGGACGAGAAGCUUGCUUCUCUGAUGUUAGCGGCGGACGGGUGAGUAACACGUGGAUAACCUACCUAUAAGACUGGGAUAACUUCGGGAAACCGGAGCUAAUACCGGAUAAUAUUUUGAACCGCAUGGUUCAAAAGUGAAAGACGGUCUUGCUGUCACUUAUAGAUGGAUCCGCGCUGCAUUAGCUAGUUGGUAAGGUAACGGCUUACCAAGGCAACGAUGCAUAGCCGACCUGAGAGGGUGAUCGGCCACACUGGAACUGAGACACGGUCCAGACUCCUACGGGAGGCAGCAGUAGGGAAUCUUCCGCAAUGGGCGAAAGCCUGACGGAGCAACGCCGCGUGAGUGAUGAAGGUCUUCGGAUCGUAAAACUCUGUUAUUAGGGAAGAACAUAUGUGUAAGUAACUGUGCACAUCUUGACGGUACCUAAUCAGAAAGCCACGGCUAACUACGUGCCAGCAGCCGCGGUAAUACGUAGGUGGCAAGCGUUAUCCGGAAUUAUUGGGCGUAAAGCGCGCGUAGGCGGUUUUUUAAGUCUGAUGUGAAAGCCCACGGCUCCACCGUGGAGGGUCAUUGGAAACUGGAAAACUUGAGUGCAGAAGAGGAAAGUGGAAUUCCAUGUGUAGCGGUGAAAUGCUCAGAGAUAUGGAGGAACACCAGUGGCGAAGGCGACUUUCUGGUCUGUAACUGACGCUGAUGUGCGAAAGCGUGGGGAUCAAACAGGAUUAGAUACCCUGGUAGUCCACGCCGUAAACGAUGAGUGCUAAGUGUUAGGGGGUUUCCGCCCCUUAGUGCUGCAGCUAACGCAUUAAGCACUCCGCCUGGGGAGUACGACCGCAAGGUUGAAACUCAAAGGAAUUGACGGGGACCCGCACAAGCGGUGGAGCAUGUGGUUUAAUUCGAAGCAACGCGAAGAACCUUACCAAAUCUUGACAUCCUUUGACAACUCUAGAGAUAGAGCCUUCCCCUUCGGGGGACAAAGUGACAGGUGGUGCAUGGUUGUCGUCAGCUCGUGUCGUGAGAUGUUGGGUUAAGUCCCGCAACGAGCGCAACCCUUAAGCUUAGUUGCCAUCAUUAAGUUGGGCACUCUAAGUUGACUGCCGGUGACAAACCGGAGGAAGGUGGGGAUGACGUCAAAUCAUCAUGCCCCUUAUGAUUUGGGCUACACACGUGCUACAAUGGACAAUACAAAGGGCAGCGAAACCGCGAGGUCAAGCAAAUCCCAUAAAGUUGUUCUCAGUUCGGAUUGUAGUCUGCAACUCGACUACAUGAAGCUGGAAUCGCUAGUAAUCGUAGAUCAGCAUGCUACGGUGAAUACGUUCCCGGGUCU